This 466-nucleotide ribosomal RNA is filed under the name uncultured bacterium. RNAcentral's name for it is "partial 16S ribosomal RNA". It matches the Rfam family "Bacterial small subunit ribosomal RNA", at positions 30 to 507 of the family's 1533-position model. The record is from RNAcentral.
CGAACGCUGGCGGCGUGCUUAACACAUGCAAGUCGAACGGAAAGGCCCUGCUUUUGUGGGGUGCUCGAGUGGCGAACGGGUGAGUAACACGUGAGUAACCUGCCCUUGACUUUGGGAUAACUUCAGGAAACUGGGGCUAAUACCGGAUAGGAGCUCCUGCUGCAUGGUGGGGGUUGGAAAGUUUCGGCGGUUGGGGAUGGACUCGCGGCUUAUCAGCUUGUUGGUGGGGUAGUGGCUUACCAAGGCUUUGACGGGUAGCCGGCCUGAGAGGGUGACCGGCCACAUUGGGACUGAGAUACGGCCCAGACUCCUACGGGAGGCAGCAGUGGGGAAUAUUGCACAAUGGGCGGAAGCCUGAUGCAGCAACGCCGCGUGCGGGAUGACGACCUUCGGGUUGUAAACCGCUUUCGCCUGUGACGAAGCGUGAGUGACGGUAAUGGGUAAAGAAGCACCGGCUAACUACGUG